This 241-nucleotide ribosomal RNA is filed under the name uncultured bacterium. Its description in RNAcentral is "partial 16S ribosomal RNA". It matches the Rfam family "Bacterial small subunit ribosomal RNA", at positions 95 to 334 of the family's 1533-position model. The record is from RNAcentral.
CCGGCGCACGGGUGAGUAACACGUAUCCAACCUGCCGUCUACUCUUGGCCAGCCUUCUGAAAGGAAGAUUAAUCCAGGAUGGCAUCAUGAGUUCACAUGUCCGCAUGAUUAAAGGUAUUUUCCGGUAGACGAUGGGGAUGCGUUCCAUUAGAUAGUAGGCGGGGUAACGGCCCACCUAGUCAACGAUGGAUAGGGGUUCUGAGAGGAAGGUCCCCCACAUUGGAACCGAGACACGGUCCAA